CUCUGGAAUCUUCUCUCACCUCCUAGACACACACACACAGAGGCACCUCCGGCAGCUCCUGGGCCAAGCCUCAUCUUGCCCAGUGUGGCCUGUCAAGAUGACGGCCUGGAAGAGAAGCCAGACUGGGCAGCCAGGCCUCUGCCCCUCCCCUUGCCUGGUGGCACAGCCAGCACUGGCUCACUGGGAAAGCUCACAACUCCUCACAGCGAUCUGGUAUCUUGAGCGUCAGUUUCUGGCCGAAACUGGGGGCUCCUGACUGAACUCCCUCCCACCUAGAAAACCUUCUGUGCAGUCUGAUUGCUCCAACACCCACAGAGCAGGAUUCAGGUAUCCCGGAGACCUUGGGAGGUCCCCAUCCAGAGGUCUGCUGUCCUGCCAGGCUUGGGGCAGCAGGGACUGGGACCCCACUCAGACCUCUCUGGGGCAAAUGUUUUGGUUCUCACAACAGCCCUAGUGAAAUCAAUCCUAGAUACUCCCAUUUGGUCCCACCAAGGCCAUUUAAUUUCUCUGUAAAGGGUAAGAUGACACAAAAGAGCCAACUAUGGAAACGGUGAGGUGGGAGUCUGAACCGAUUUAGCUGUUCUCAGGGCGCACAGGGUGUUGACGGUGGUUUUCAUCUGCCACCUGCCUCCUUGAGACCCAGCUGGCCUGAGUGUGCACGAAAUGGGACCUUCUCCUUGGGUCCACCAGGCUGGGAGGCACCCCUAGGUACCCGGCUCCUCAUCACAGCGGCAGCCCUCUCGGUUCCACAUCUGGUUCUCCUGACGAAGCCGCUGGUUUUCGGUCCGGAGCCUCUGGACCUCGGCAGCCAGCUCCUCCACCUGGCGGCAGGACUGCUGGCCGGUGCACGCCUGCAGCUGCUGCAGCCUCCUAGUCUCCUCCUCCGCCUGCGACAGCCGCUUCUCCAGCUCCAGGUAGUCUCGCACCAGCUCCUGCUUGCUGCGGCCCUGCAGGCUCUCGGUGUGGAAGCGUUCGUAAGUCUCAGAGAAGUCCUUCCGCUGGAACUCACCGUGCGCUCGGCCCCGCCCAUCACUGUCCCCGGCCUCACUCUCCCCACUGGAACCUGGGUGGGAGAUCCCAUGGGGCACAUCCAAGUUGGGCUCCUCCGGGUCCCUGUCAUUCAUCAGGAACUGGGUGGUGUUGUAGGGGGCCACGGGCUGGCCUUUGGCGAACAUCUCUUCGCGGACCCGGGAGGCCCUCUGGCUCUGCCUCUCAUCCCGCUGUUGUUUCUCAGCCCAGCUCAGCUCCAGGUAGGGUCGCCAGUGCCUUUUGCGCUUCGAUGGCCGCCGACGGUGUUUCUUCCGGGCCAGCACAGCCUCCGCUGAGCAGCCCCCUGGGCUCUGGGUCCGGGGACUCCUACUGUUCCAGCCCAGGCCACCGACAGCCCCAGCAAGAUCUUCAUCCUCUGAGUGGCUCUCCAUCCGCGGUGUCAGGGGCAGGGAACCACCAGAGUCAUGACGCUCAGGGGGUGUUUGGGGGCUCCCCGGGGCACCAGAGGUCUAAAGAGAGGGAGGAGGAAGAAGGAUGGAUCAGACAGCCUGUCCUUGGAGGUGGAACCUUUCCCUCUCUACCUAGCCUGAAGCCUACCUUCCUACACUCAGCUAACUUGGUCACUCUUAGCCCCUCAACCUUUUGGAACCAUUUGUUUACAAAGAGACCUGUCUACUGUCUGUCCCCCAACCUUCCCCAAGUAAACUCAUGGUGAGAGCAGGAAUUUUGCCUGUGUGUUUCACUCUGUAAUUUCAAUGCCUAGAAUAAUACCUGGCACUGAGUAGGAGUUCCAUAAAUACUGUCCAAAUGAGUAAAGUAGGAGAAGAAGAAAACUGGGAUAGAAGGUGGAUCUUGAUGCAUUUGCUUGAUCAGAAGCCCAAAUGGCACCGGCUCUUCCCUCUUCCCAGAAAACCUGACUUUCAAACACCACUGGCUUCAUGGGCAGGUGACCUGUGAAGUCCCACAGAGGCCCCAC
RNAcentral lists this long non-coding RNA (1966 nucleotides) under Homo sapiens (human). RNAcentral's name for it is "HSALNT0390087". Lineage: Eukaryota; Metazoa; Chordata; Mammalia; Primates; Hominidae. The record is from RNAcentral.